CAAUAGCGUAUAUUAAAGUUGUUGCAGUUAAAAAGCUCGUAGUUGAAUUUCUGGGUCUGCCGGGCGGAGGCACAAGCCGAAACCCCGCGGUCUCAUCCUCACCCUCCGGGGUGUCAUUUACUGUGAAAAAAUUAGAGUGUUUAAAGCAGGCUUUAGGCUUGAAUACAUUAGCAUGGAAUAAUGAGAUAGGACCGAGUCGUAUUUUGUUGGUUGCGCGAUUUGGUAAUGAUUAAUAGGGACAGUUGGGGGUAUUCAUAUUUAAUUGUCAGAGGUGAAAUUCUUAGAUUUGUUAAAGAUGAACUACUGCGAAAGCAUUUACCAAGGAUGUUUUCAUUAA
This 337-nucleotide ribosomal RNA is filed under the name uncultured eukaryote. RNAcentral describes it as "partial 18S ribosomal RNA". It matches the Rfam family "Eukaryotic small subunit ribosomal RNA", at positions 592 to 976 of the family's 1831-position model. The record is from RNAcentral.